UAUAUGUCUUAAGGAAGGAUGACGGUGU
RNAcentral lists this non-coding RNA (28 nucleotides) under Rattus norvegicus (Norway rat). The record is from RNAcentral. Lineage: Eukaryota; Metazoa; Chordata; Mammalia; Rodentia; Muridae.